Sinocyclocheilus rhinocerous is the source of this 97-nucleotide long non-coding RNA. RefSeq lists it as uncharacterized. The transcript is spliced from 4 exons. NCBI's taxonomy places the organism in Eukaryota, Metazoa, Chordata, Actinopteri, Cypriniformes, Cyprinidae. The record is from RefSeq and is a predicted model, not a curated record.
AUUCAAAUGAAUUGGUCCUGUGCAUAAGGGAUUACUAUUUUUCUGUAAUUUAAUUACAGUUACUUCUUAUGUAAUUGAACUUAAUACUGUGUAUAGA